This 253-nucleotide ribosomal RNA is filed under the name uncultured bacterium. RNAcentral describes it as "partial 16S ribosomal RNA". It matches the Rfam family "Bacterial small subunit ribosomal RNA", at positions 524 to 776 of the family's 1533-position model. The record is from RNAcentral.
GACGUAGGGCGCGAGCGUUGUCCGGAUUUAUUGGGCGUAAAGAGCUCGUAGGCGGUGUGUCGCGUCGGCCGUGAAAACCCGGGGCUCAACUCCGGGCCUGCAGUCGAUACGGGCUGGCUUGAGUGCGGUAGGGGAGACUGGAAUUCCUGGUGUAGCGGUGAAAUGCGCAGAUAUCAGGAGGAACACCGGUGGCGAAGGCGGGUCUCUGGGCCGUAACUGACGCUGAGGAGCGAAAGCGUGGGGAGCGAACAGG